This 54-nucleotide transfer RNA is filed under the name Diurodrilus subterraneus. Its description in RNAcentral is "tRNA-Leu". Lineage: Eukaryota; Metazoa; Annelida; Polychaeta; Eunicida; Diurodrilidae. The record is from RNAcentral.
UUUAAGCUGGCAGAUAAAUGCAAUUAAUUUAGAAUUAAAAGAUUUACCUUAAUU